Long non-coding RNA from Gadus macrocephalus (Pacific cod), 834 nucleotides. RefSeq lists it as uncharacterized. The transcript is spliced from 3 exons. Lineage: Eukaryota; Metazoa; Chordata; Actinopteri; Gadiformes; Gadidae. The record is from RefSeq and is a predicted model, not a curated record.
GAUGGCUAGUCACUACGUCAUCAUAUCCAAAAACGUCACUUCCGUGUCCACUCGUGUCCACUCGCUAACAUUCUAACAGUAAAAUGGUGCAGUGCUGUGUCCCGUGUUGCAAUAACCGCAACGACGUCAACAAAACAAUCUCUUUUUACCGAUUUCCCCUCGAUGAAAAAGAGAAGAAGAGAUGGCUGAAGUUGAUACGGUAAGUUGGAUCUCAAAUGAUGAACAAUAAUAACAGGCUAGUGGUUACUAACGUUAUGAGCUAGGUACUACUAGCGAGUGCUAGCUUUGUUUGUUUUGUCAGCACUUCAAAAUGCUUUCAAGGUUAUCGUUAUCGUUCUUGAACUGCUACCAGUAAUGUUACAUAUGCUAAGGAAGACAGCCAGUGUCUGUGCUGCAUAGGAAAUCAUAAAACUUCGAAGUGAGACUGACUUUUACUCUAGUAGACCUAGCUAAACAAACAACGCUGAAUUCCUUAACAGAUUCGGCAGUUGCUGGUCCUUAAAUCGGUCCUGAUUGAAAACCACUACACCUAGACUCUUCAAAUCUGGACUAAAUUAUCACAGUGAGGCUAUAAAUUAUAUAAAACAUAGUUACAGAUUUGUGAAACCUUUUUUCUAUUUGUGAAAAUGCAAUACAGGCUCAUUGUAAUGCUUUUUAGGGGUCCAGCCUGCAUUAGAACGGGUCCUGAUUGAAAACCACUACACCUAGACUCUUCAAAUCUGGACUAAAUUAUCAGUGAGGCUAUACAUUAUGUAAAACAUAGUUUCAGAUUUGUGAAACCUUUACCCUAUUUGUGAAAAUGCAAUACAGGCUAAUUUGAAUGCUUUUUAGGGG